Molecule: ribosomal RNA, 459 nt
Filed under: uncultured bacterium
Lineage: Bacteria
Description: partial 16S ribosomal RNA
Rfam family: Bacterial small subunit ribosomal RNA
Source: RNAcentral
CCUACGGGAGGCAGCAGUGAGGAAUAUUGGUCAAUGGGCGAGAGCCUGAACCAGCCAAGUCGCGUGAGGGAGUACUGCCCUAUGGGUUGUAAACCUCUUUUGUCGGGGAGCAAAAGCCGGACGUGUCCGGCUGUGAGAGUACCCGCAGAAAAAGCAUCGGCUAACUCCGUGCCAGCAGCCGCGGUAAUACAGAGGUGGCAAGCGUUGUCCGGAAUGACUGGGCGUAAAGGGAGCGUAGGCGGGCUGUUAAGUUGGAAGUGAAAUCCCGGGGGUCAACCCCGGAACUGCUUUCAAGACUGACGGACUUGAGUGUAAGAGGAGUAAGCGGAAUGCCUAGUGUAGCGGUGGAAUGCGUAGAUAUUAGGAGGAACACCAGUGGCGAAGGCGGCUUACUGGAUUAUAACUGACGCUGAGGCUCGAAAGCGUGGGUAGCAAACAGGAUUAGAUACCCUUGUAGUC